Molecule: long non-coding RNA, 711 nt
Filed under: Mytilus galloprovincialis (Mediterranean mussel)
Lineage: Eukaryota; Metazoa; Mollusca; Bivalvia; Mytilida; Mytilidae
Source: RNAcentral
CUUCUUGAUACUAUCUUAUGAUCAUAAACAAGCUUCUGUCCAAGUUUGGUAGAAAUUCAGUAUAGUUUAAGAAAGUUAUUAAAAUUUCAAAAACUUUAACCACAGAGUGAAUAUUUGUGGCCGCCGCCGCCGCCGCCGCCGCCGAUGGAAUGUAGGAUCGCUUAGUCUCGCUUUUUCGACUAAAGUCGAUGGCUCGACAAAAACAUUCUCAGUCUAGUUGCCUGUAAACACACAAAAAGAUCCAAGCAAAGUUUUAGGAAAAUAACCGUAUCACUUACACCUAUUGUUUGAGUUUGAUAAAAAUGCAGUGACAUGUAUGAGGAAAUUAUUUUGGCUUUUUUAAACAAUGUCUGAUUAAUAUUAAUGAAACCAUUGAUAUGAUAUUAUGAUGAUAAAGUGUCACAUAAAUAUAAUCAUAUAUACAUCAAAUAUACACAAAUUAACAUCACAUGAAUUCAUACCAACAUUUGAGGCUUGGUCAUGGCACUGUUAAAUUCUGAUUGGUUUUAUUUGUAUCACAGAAGAAUUGACUGCUUAUUUCUCCUAAACAGUUUAUUUGUGUUUCCCGAUGACACAAAUUAAACCAUUCUGACUUUUACAGAUCCAACACAUUUUUCAUGUUUAUGUUUUGAAAGAUGAAAACUGAAAAUUCAGAACUUUUUGUGAGCAUUUAAAUUAGCAAUUGUUGAAUAAUUGACCAAAAUGAAGUUG